ACGCUCGACACCUACGGAGGCAGCAGUGGGGAAUAUUGCACAAUGGGGGAAACCCUGAUGCAGCGACGCCGCGUGAAGGAAGAAGUAUCUCGGUAUGUAAACUUCUAUCAGCAGGGAAGAAAAUGACGGUACCUGACUAAGAAGCCCCGGCUAACUACGUGCCANCAGCCGCGGUAAUCUGAGCGGGCUGGCAAGGC
RNAcentral lists this ribosomal RNA (197 nucleotides) under uncultured bacterium. RNAcentral describes it as "partial 16S ribosomal RNA". It matches the Rfam family "Bacterial small subunit ribosomal RNA", at positions 328 to 539 of the family's 1533-position model. The record is from RNAcentral.